UUAAGCCAUGCAAGUCGAACGAGUUUAGGCUCGUGGCGUACGGCUCAGUAACACGUGGAUAAUCUACCCUUAGGACCGGGAUAACCUUGGGAAACUGAGGAUAAUACUGGAUAGGCAAUUAUUCCUGUAAUGGUUUUUUGUUUAAAUGUUUUUUCGCCUAAGGAUGAGUCUGCGGCCGAUUAGGUAGUUGGUUAGGUAAUGGCUUACCAAGCCGUUGAUCGGUACGGGUUGUGAGAGCAAGAGCCCGGAGAUGGAACCUGAGACAAGGUUCCAGGCCCUACGGGGUGCAGCAGGCGCGAAACCUCCGCAAUGUGAGAAAUCGCGACGGGGGGAUCCCAAGUGCCAUUCUUAACGGGAUGGCUUUUCAUUAGUGUAAAGAGCUUUUGGAAUAAGAGCUGGGCAAGACCGGUGCCAGCCGCCGCGGUAACACCGGCAGCUCUAGUGGUAACAAUUUUUAUUGGGCCUAAAGCGUCCGUAGCCGGUUUAAUAAGUCUCUGGUGAAAUCCUGUAGCUUAACUGUGGGAAUUGCUGGAGAUACUAUUAGACUUGAGACCGGGAGAGGUUAGAGGUACUCCCAGGGUAGAGGUGAAAUUCUGUAAUCCUGGGAGGACCGCCUGUUGCGAAGGCGUCUAACUGGAACGGUUCUGACGGUGAGGGACGAAAGUUAGGGGCGCGAACCGGAUUAGAUACCCGGGUAGUCCUAACUGUAAACGAUGCGGACUUGGUGUUGGGGUGGCUUUGAGCUGCUCCAGUGCCGAAGGGAAGCUGUUAAGUCCGCCGCCUGGGAAGUACGGUCGCAAGACUGAAACUUAAAGGAAUUGGCGGGGGAGCAAUCUGCUGAAAAACUCGAG
Molecule: ribosomal RNA, 851 nt
Filed under: uncultured Methanobrevibacter sp.
Lineage: Archaea; Methanobacteriati; Methanobacteriota; Methanobacteria; Methanobacteriales; Methanobacteriaceae
Description: bacterial SSU rRNA
Rfam family: Archaeal small subunit ribosomal RNA
Source: RNAcentral